Molecule: ribosomal RNA, 416 nt
Filed under: uncultured bacterium
Lineage: Bacteria
Description: bacterial SSU rRNA
Rfam family: Bacterial small subunit ribosomal RNA
Source: RNAcentral
UAAGGAAUAUUGCUCAAUGGGAGAAAUCCUGAAGCAGCAACGCCGCGUGGAGGAUGAAGGGUCUAUGACUUGUAAACUCCUGUAAAGAAGGAAAAAAUUCCCAUUAGAUGGGAGAUGAUGGUACAUCUGGAGUAAGCCCCGGCUAACUACGUGCCAGCAGCCGCGGUAAUACGUAGGGGGCAAGCGUUGUCCGGAUUUACUGGGUGUAAAGGGUGCUCAGGCGGAUUUGUAAGUCAGAGGUGAAAUCUUACAGCUUAACUGUGAAACUGCCUUUGAUACUGCAAGCCUAGAGUAUGGAAGAGAGUGAUGUAAUAUCUGGUGUAGCAGUGAAAUGCGUAGAUAUCAGAUAGAACACCAAUGGCGAAGGCAGUCACUUGGUCCAUUACUGACGCUAAAGCACGAAAGCGUGGGUAGCA